This 1145-nucleotide long non-coding RNA is filed under the name Homo sapiens (human). RNAcentral's name for it is "HSALNT0174302". The record is from RNAcentral. Lineage: Eukaryota; Metazoa; Chordata; Mammalia; Primates; Hominidae.
GUUGAUGACCUUGGGGGGUUGAUUGCAUUAUAAGCUGGUGCCCUUUGCUGAAGGAUAUCUCCUGUGCUCUUCAGUGGCAGAAGCAAAAUAAAAACAUUUCAUUUUAUGGAAGCAGUUAGACACACAUCUGUUGUUCCAGAACUUCCAUAUUAAAUGCUUGUCUACACAGGCCAUGUCAAUUAAAACUGUCUGUAUGCAACAACAAAAAAUUUAAGUCAUAUUGAUAUACAAUGACUGUUACAGAAUUUGGCCCCUUUUUAUUUUGUCUUAAUGGAAAGGAAGCCUUUCAUUCCUUGAGUAGUUAAAAACUUAGGUUUAUCUCUGUUGUAACCAAACUAAGACGAAUGAUACUAAUUCAUUUGGCUUUUAUAUCUAUUUAAAUCUUGUAAAAAAAUAGCUUUUCACCUCUAUAACCCUAGCAUUGAACUUGGUGGCUAUUUAAUAAAUAAUUAUACAGUGAUUAAAGGAAUGUAUGAGUGAGAAUAAGAAAAAAAACUUUGAGAUUCUUAAAACAAGGUGAAAUUAUAUUUGAAAAUACAGACUUUAUUUGAGAAUUAAACUUUAUUUUUAUUCUCAGUACUAACAGCUAAAAUAGUAAAAUUAAUGAUGUUAAUUUUUUUUUGUUUGUUUUUUGAGAUGGAGGCUUGCUCUGUCACUGAGGCUGGAGCAUAAUCUCAGCUCACUACAACCUCUGCCUCCUGGGUUUAAGUGAUUCUCCUGCCUCAGCCUCCUGAGUAGCUGAGAUUAUAGUCGUGUGCCACCACAGCUGGUUAAUUUUUGUAUUUUUAGUAGAGAUGGGGUUUUCACCAUGUUGGCCAGCCUGGUUUUGAACACAUGACCUCAAGUGAUCUGCCAGCUUCAGCCUCCCAAAGUGCUAGGAUUACAGGCAUAAGCCACCACGCUCGGCCAAUAAAUACUUUUGAAGAAACAUAGAUAUACACACAAAUUAUGUCAUAUCUACAGAUUGCCAAAUUAUUACCCCAAGUUGAUUGUGUUUCAGGAAAUAAGCUUCCAGAUAAAAGAUACUAUAAAAUAUUUAGCAUAAAUAUUUGAUUUCCUUUAAUUUUUUCAGCUUUUUGAUUUUACAUUAAAUAUUUCUUAGUAUCUUUCAUCUAGACUUUUACUCCCUAGAAGGUAAAAAAAAA